Camelus dromedarius (Arabian camel) is the source of this 4024-nucleotide long non-coding RNA. RefSeq lists it as uncharacterized. The record is from RefSeq and is a predicted model, not a curated record. Lineage: Eukaryota; Metazoa; Chordata; Mammalia; Artiodactyla; Camelidae. The transcript is spliced from 3 exons.
UAAUUUUGGUUAAGUCCAGUCUAUCCGUUUUUUCUGCCCUGAAUAUUGCUUGCUGUAUCCUGAGAAAUAUGUGCCCAUCCCGAGUCUGGGGAAAUUUUCUGCUGCAAUGUUUUCAUCCCUAACAGCGCUGACCAGCAGACGUCUCUGAUGACAGAGACGACGGGCCGUGUCUCUAUCCUGUCCAACAGGCAGCCACCAGCUGCAGGUGAGCAUGAGAAGUGUGGCUCGGAACUGACUGUUCACUUCACUUCAAUUAAUUUAAAUGUAAGUAUGUGUAACUAAUGGCUCCCCAAAUGGACAACACAGAUCUAGACGUUUUACGGAUUUAACUUUUAAACUGAGGUUUGUCAGCUGGAAGAGAAAAGCAUGAUGUGCGAGUCCUGAGUUCAGCUUCACGUGCGGACGCGCUGAGGACUGCAGGCCCGGAGACAGCCUCCCAGGAGCUCUGGGCAAGCACUCCGCAGAGGUGAAGGGCAGACGCCAGUGUGUGUGUGGUUUUGGUGAAGAGGGUCUGUGCAGUCAAGCAUGUGUCUCCGUAGAAGGUCACCCGGAGCAGGUGUCUCUGUUAGUGGUUUUAGUGCCUUUCUGGGUAUGACAAGAUGCAAGAAGUUGGGUUCAUAAAAUUUUCUCUUGAAGUAUUUAUCUGCAGUCCUGUCCUUCCAGUUUUCCCAGAGCACAGAGUGCCUCACGCCAGAUCUCCGCCCUGACCUCCUGUCAGGUGUGUUAAAGGUCACUGACCGCUGGGUCCAGUGACUUCAUUCUUGUAGAACCAGAUGGUGAGUGGCUUUUUGGCUGCCAAGCGCAUCGCCUGUUUCUAAUGCGUGUUUGUGAAUGUGGAUGCCCUGUGGGUACCCAGCUGUUCUUGCACAAUUGGUCCAAAGACUGUUCUUUCUCGAACUGAAUUAUGUGGACACCUCUGUUGAACAUCAGUUAUCUACGUACACGUGGUCUUUUCCUGGACUUAUUUGUCGCCUUUGAUUUCCCGUGUGUAUGGCCUUCCCACCUCCCACUUAGCUUUUCUUUCUCAAAACUGAUUUCCUGUUGAAUGUCUCUUACCUUUCUAUAUAGAUUUUGAAUCAGCUUCUCAAUUUCUACAAACUAGAAAGCCCACUGAGAUUUUGAUUUUGAGAUCAACUUUGAGAAUUUUCACCCUAGCAAUGAGCUUUCCAAUCUGUGAAUGUGGUAUAUCUUUAUUUACCCCUUUCUUGAGAUAAUCUUUGAUUCCUCCCAGCAGUGCUUUGUGGUUUCCAGUGUAAAGAACAUGCAAAUUUUCAUUAAAUUACUUCUUAGAUAUUUUAUGACUUUACUGUUACUGGAAGUGGGUGUUUUAAAAUUUUUAUUUCCCAAUUAUUUGUUGCUAGUAUGUAGAAGCACAGUUUAUUUUUGUAUGAACUUGGUGUCCUGGAACCUUGCGAAGUUCACUUAUUAGUUCUAGUGUUUGGGGGUCAAUUUUUUUAGAACUUUCUGUGCUCACAAUUGUGCUUCUGUGAGUAGAAUCUUUCACGUCUUCCAGGUGACCUGAGCUGGGAAGCGAGGGUGGGGGGCUCGCUCUCCCCUCUCCCGUCUCCCCAGAUCUUUGGGACUCACUGCCCCCCCCAUCCACCUGCCAGAAGAGCUUGUGGGGGAGGUGGUGAGGGCAGGACAGCCCUCUGCUGCUCCCUCACUAUUUUCAAAGCAUCCUAGCCCUCGGGAAGGAGAGGGCUACUACUCGGGGCCCCUGGCAAGACCCAGCCACCACCUCUGCAGAGCUGGGGGAGCAGGCUCAGCCAGAGGAGGCAGGGUGUGUCGGGUGUGCCGGCAAGCGGGUCGAGAGGAGGAAGGAGGCCCUUCUCAGAGCAGAGGGUAAACAAGCAUGAACUGCUAACAAAGACCCUGCCGCUCACUUGGGUAAAUCGCACCUCCACAAAGUUGAAGAGAAGAACAGGGCUGUGCUCUUUAGAAAGCAAGCUGGAGACGCUCAGCGGGACCUCAACUGGGCUACAAAGCUGCAGGGAGACACCACGGGGCCCCGGAAACCACAUCCCGGACAUGUGCGUGGGAACUGCUGUGUCUGGGAAACGCAGAGAGCAAACUGGAUCACAGGAUCACGUGCCGCCGCUCUGUUCAAGCCUGUGUGUGCGUGGUGCAUGUGCGCACGGGCACGUGAGUGUGAGUGUAUAAAGAAAUUGAAAGAGCUUGCCAUCUCAGGUCCAGCCCGUGCACACUCUCAGGUCCCAGGACCAGGACCAGAAGAGGGAGGCACAUGGAAAAAUUGAGCAGGUGCUGCUCCAAGGCCAGGCCCUCAGGUGAGGGUGUCUCUGGUCGUUCUUGUCCUGAGUCAUGCUCCUGGCUUCUCUGCUCAGUAAACAAGGAACCAUACAGACACCUUGGAAAGAGCCUCAGGCUGGCCGGGCGAGCGGCUGGCUGGCCACUGGGGGGCAGUGUGGCUCUGCCUGCAGCUGUGUGAUGCGUGGCCCGGGGACGCCGCCGAGGGGACUCCUGGGGUCCAGGCUGGCACCGCUGCCCAAGGAGUGCACGUCUGGGGAGUUUGGGCCAGGGCCAGCAGGCAGCCUCCACUUGCUCAGGCUUGGGACCGCCUGAGGAUCCUGGGUUGGGGGCAGGCAAGUCACCCUCCCCACCAGGACAGGGGCCUGGCCCAGAGCAGCCCCAGGCCGUUCCUGACCUCCUCCCCUCAGCUGAGCCCUGCUGGUCCCAACUGCUGUCCCCUGCCAGCCAGGCCUGGGCUGAGCACGCCCCCCUCAGGGCUGCCUGACCUGACACAGGGCCUGCCUGCCCUGUUCCUGCCCCAGGAGAGAGCAGGACAGUUCCCAACGUGUCCACUGCUUUGCUUACUUUGGCACAAGACUUAGGGCAAGAGACGUGCUUUUUCUCCCAGCAAAACUGAGUGAACGGAUUCUCCCACGUUCUAAACAUGCGCAUUCACAACUGAUACAGGAAAAAUGGAUGUGGGGUGAGGAGGGCCGUGUCCCAGGUCUCGGUGGAGCCCUGGGACACGCCCCGCCGAGUGUGGGUCCUUGGCUUCACGUAGGAAAGAAUUCAAGGAGGAGCCACAUGUGAGUAAAGGUAGGUGUAUUCAGAGAGACACCCCCCCCCCCCCAGACAGAGUGCAGGCUGUGUCUGAAGGCAAGCGCGCGGCCACGCGCUGCGGGGCGGGUGCUCAGGGUAGCUGAAGGCAGGCGCACAGCCCGCACAGAGCGCGGGCGUGCUCUGAAGACCAGGGAGCGAGAGAGGUGGUGAGGCGUGGUGUUGCCAGUUCUCAUGGGCUCGGUAGCUUCACGCGCCAGCAAGAGGGCCGACCUUUCCAGCCACUCUGGGGAAGAGGCUGGGAUUCCCAGCAACUGGGCCGCGCCCACUCUGACCGUUUGUGCCAGCCUCGGGGCGGCAUGGCGCCCGUGGGUGUCAUUUCCUGUGCCGCUGCAUCACAGCGAGCAGACAGCGAAGCUCGAGUUCUGCCACAAGUCAGAUCUCCUGUCGCCUUAAUCCUCGAGGCCCUACUGGGGGUCGAAUCUUCCACCACGUGGGUGUUAGGUGCUGUGACAUUUCUUGAAUGGCUGUGCCCUGCCCCCUUCCCUUCUGUCCCACAGCUUGAGUCUCCUGCCUUUGCCCCCAGGAGGAGCCAGCUCAGCCCUGGGUAAACCCUGGCUGCCUGUGACUGAGGCGGUGGAGCCUCCCUGGGGCCAGGGGGCCGAUGCGGUCAUCUUUACUCUUUCUAUCAUUACUGACAAAUUGAUAGAUGAACAUUUUUGUUAGUGUUUGGGCUUUUUUCCUACUUUUAUUUUAGUUUACUUUUAACCUGUUGUCCAUAUUUGCAGAUCCUAGCAUUGUGCCUUGUUUCCAUUUUCAGCGGAGAACCCGGAGUCGCACCCCGACCGCAGCCCUCCUCUUCCCCCCGGAGGCCCUGUUGUGAAUUCGGGAGUUGUUGAGAUGGCCGCUGUCAGGACGUGACCACCAGGUGGCAGGCGGCUGCUGGCAUCAGGCCCCGGUUCCACAGCUCCAUGGGCAACUCUUGGCAGUGUUGACUGAA